RNAcentral lists this long non-coding RNA (824 nucleotides) under Macaca mulatta (Rhesus monkey). Its description in RNAcentral is "lncRNA (ENSMMUG00000059265.1)". The record is from RNAcentral. Lineage: Eukaryota; Metazoa; Chordata; Mammalia; Primates; Cercopithecidae.
GGGUUAAGUCAGAGGAAGUGAGAUUAAGCAGCAAGGAAUGGGCCUUGCAAAAUCGAUAGAAAGGAAUGUGAAAAAGAAGUGACCUCAGAGGCAGGGUUGCAGCACAGGUGCCUGCUGAGAGGACAGCAGAGCUCUUCCCUGGUGCAUGUGGUAGUCUUGGAACUGGAAUAAAUGCCAGAAUUAUUUCAUACCACAACACCCAAAACCCAUAUCAACUGCCAUCAUCAAACAGAGAAAAAGACCCUAAGAAGCUUGGUGAGUGAUAACAUAACAGAACAGAAAACAAAUUUCCUGAACACAGAAAAUGAAGUCUCCCUGAAGGAAGGCAAAAGACAAAAAAGAGAGACUAAAAUGGCUGUCUGGUAAAGGAGUGUGCAGAGAGUACUGUCCCUCACCAGACUGCGCUCCUUCAUUUCACAAUCACUUUUGAAACCCUCCUAUGUGCAGGUAUUGUGCCAAGUGUUGGGAGUAUCCAGAGCCCUUGCUCUCCUGGAGUCUAUACUCUAGUAUCUUUCUCUUACACUAGACCAGUGAAAAAAAAGACAUCUGGGUUUCUACUUACUCCUAGGUGUGAGCCUGUGCCCUGCUACUUAGUAACAAGCCAUCAAACCUCUGGGACCUUGGUUUCCUCACCAGUAAAAGCAAGGAUAAUAAGACCUUAACAGCAUUGUUGUAAGUAUUAAGUGUCAUCCUAUACAUAAAUAUAAUCUGCAUGUGCAAGUAUAAGGUAUUAUUUCUAUUGACUCUCAUACAGAUUCCUUCCCCCCACUUUUUGUUUUUGAUUAUCUCUUUAAUUGAGUCAAAAACGUUUUACCUAUUUGAAC